Non-coding RNA from Neonectria magnoliae, 108 nucleotides. Lineage: Eukaryota; Fungi; Ascomycota; Sordariomycetes; Hypocreales; Nectriaceae. The record is from the annotation of a GenBank genome assembly.
GGCAAGAUGGCCGAGUGGUUAAGGCGGCAGGUUUAAGUUUUACUUCUUAUUAGAAGGAGACGCAUUCUGCUGGAGCAAUCCUCCUGGGUUCGAGCCCCAGUCUUGCCA